CAAUAGCGUAUAUUAAAGUUGUUGCAGUUAAAAAGCUCGUAGUUGGAUUUGUGGCGUACGGUGUGUUCCGGGCACUUGUUGUCUGAGUAACCUGCUGUUGCCAUCCUUGGGUGGAACCUGUGUGGCAUUAGGUUGUCGUGCAGGGGAUGCCCAUCAUUUACUGUGAAAAAAUUAGAGUGUUCAAAGCAGGCUUAUGCCGUUGAAUAUAUUAGCAGGGAAUAAUGAGAUAGGACUUUUUUGCUAUUUUGUUGGUUUGCGCAAAGAGGUAAUGAUUAAUAGGGACAGUUGGGGGUAUUCGUAUUCCAUUGUCAGAGGUGAAAUUCUUGGAUUUUUGGAAGACGAACUACUGCGAAAGCAUUUACCAAGGAUGUUUUCAUUAA
RNAcentral lists this ribosomal RNA (380 nucleotides) under uncultured eukaryote. Its description in RNAcentral is "partial 18S ribosomal RNA". It matches the Rfam family "Eukaryotic small subunit ribosomal RNA", at positions 592 to 976 of the family's 1831-position model. The record is from RNAcentral.